RNAcentral lists this ribosomal RNA (551 nucleotides) under Herbaspirillum frisingense. RNAcentral describes it as "bacterial SSU rRNA". It matches the Rfam family "Bacterial small subunit ribosomal RNA", at positions 67 to 611 of the family's 1533-position model. Lineage: Bacteria; Pseudomonadati; Pseudomonadota; Betaproteobacteria; Burkholderiales; Oxalobacteraceae. The record is from RNAcentral.
CGGCAGCAUAGGAGCUUGCUCCUGAUGGCGAGUGGCGAACGGGUGAGUAAUAUAUCGGAACGUGCCCUAGAGUGGGGGAUAACUAGUCGAAAGACUAGCUAAUACCGCAUACGAUCUACGGAUGAAAGUGGGGGAUCGCAAGACCUCAUGCUCCUGGAGCGGCCGAUAUCUGAUUAGCUAGUUGGUGGGGUAAAAGCUCACCAAGGCGACGAUCAGUAGCUGGUCUGAGAGGACGACCAGCCACACUGGGACUGAGACACGGCCCAGACUCCUACGGGAGGCAGCAGUGGGGAAUUUUGGACAAUGGGGGCAACCCUGAUCCAGCAAUGCCGCGUGAGUGAAGAAGGCCUUCGGGUUGUAAAGCUCUUUUGUCAGGGAAGAAACGGUUCUGGAUAAUACCUGGGACUAAUGACGGUACCUGAAGAAUAAGCACCGGCUAACUACGUGCCAGCAGCCGCGGUAAUACGUAGGGUGCAAGCGUUAAUCGGAAUUACUGGGCGUAAAGCGUGCGCAGGCGGUUGUGUAAGUCAGAUGUGAAAUCCCCGGGCUCA